AAAUAGAUACCCCAGGUAGUCCACGCCGUAAACGAUGAGUGCUAAGUGUUAGAGGGUUUCCGCCCUUUAGUGCUGAAGUUAACGCAUUAAGCACUCCGCCUGGGGAGUACGGCCGCAAGGCUGAAACUCAAAGGAAUUGACGGGGGCCCGCACAAGCGGUGGAGCAUGUGGUUUAAUUCGAAGCAACGCGAAGAACCUUACCAGGUCUUGACAUCCUCUGACAACCCUAGAGAUAGGGCUUCUCCUUCGGGAGCAGAGUGACAGGUGGUGCAUGGUUGUCGUCAGCUCGUGUCGUGAGAUGUUGGGUUAAGUCCCGCAACGAGCGCAACCCUUGAUCUUAGUUGCCAUCAUUAAGUUGGGCACUCUAAGGUGACUGCCGGUGACAAACCGGAGGAAGGUGGGGAUGACGUCAAAUCAUCAUGCCCCUUAUGACCUGGGCUACACACGUGCUACAAUGGACGGUACAAAGAGCUGCAAGACCGCGAGGUGGAGCUAAUCUCAUAAAACCGUUCUCAGUUCGGA
RNAcentral lists this ribosomal RNA (522 nucleotides) under uncultured bacterium. RNAcentral's name for it is "bacterial SSU rRNA". It matches the Rfam family "Bacterial small subunit ribosomal RNA", at positions 776 to 1297 of the family's 1533-position model. The record is from RNAcentral.